RNAcentral lists this ribosomal RNA (374 nucleotides) under uncultured bacterium. RNAcentral's name for it is "partial 16S ribosomal RNA". It matches the Rfam family "Bacterial small subunit ribosomal RNA", at positions 338 to 729 of the family's 1533-position model. The record is from RNAcentral.
CCUACGGUAGGCAGCAGUGGGGAAUAUUGCACAAUGGGGGAAACCCUGAUGCAGCGACGCCGCGUGAGUGAAGAAGUAAUUCGGUAUGUAAAGCUCUAUCAGCAGGGAAGAAAAUGACGGUACCUGAGUAAGAAGCCCCGGCUAACUACGUGCCAGCAGCCGCGGUAAUACGUAGGAGGCAAGCGUUAUCCGGAUUUACUGGGUGUAAAGGGUGCGUAGGCGGCAGUGCAAGUCUGGGGUGAAAGGCGGGGGCUCAACCCCCGGACUGCUCUGGAAACUGGACGGCUGGAGUGCAGUAGAGGUAAGUGGAAUGCGUGGUGUAGCGGUGAAAUGCGUAGAUAUUACGCGGAACACCAGUUGCGAAGGCAGCUUAC